UACGGAGGGUGCGAGCGUUGUCCGGAAUCACUGGGCGUAAAGGGCGCGUAGGCGGCACGGCAAGUCAGGAGUGAAAGGCCUGGGCUCAACCGAGGAACUGCUUUUGAGACUGCCGAGCUAGAGUGCAGAAGGGGCAACUGGAAUUCCCAGUGUAGCGGUGAAAUGCGUAGAUAUUGGGAAGAACACCUGAGGCGAAGGCGGGUUGCUGGGCUGACACUGACGCUGAGGCGCGAAAGCCAGGGGAGCAAACGGG
This 253-nucleotide ribosomal RNA is filed under the name uncultured bacterium. RNAcentral describes it as "partial 16S ribosomal RNA". It matches the Rfam family "Bacterial small subunit ribosomal RNA", at positions 524 to 776 of the family's 1533-position model. The record is from RNAcentral.